GACGAGCCACACAAACGUUAUUCGGAAUUACUGGGCUUAAAGGGUGCGUAGGCGGCGCGGAAAGUUGGGUGUGAAAGCCCUCGGCUCAACCGAGGAAUUGCGCCCAAAACUACCGUGCUUGAGGAAGAUAGAGGUGAGCGGAACUCAGGGUGGAGCGGUGAAAUGCGUAGAUAUCAGGAGGAACACCGGUGGCGAAGGCGGCUUUCUGGACAGUAACUGACGCUGAGGCGCGAAAGCUAGGGGAGCAAACAGG
Molecule: ribosomal RNA, 253 nt
Filed under: uncultured bacterium
Lineage: Bacteria
Description: partial 16S ribosomal RNA
Rfam family: Bacterial small subunit ribosomal RNA
Source: RNAcentral